CAGUAGCCGCGGUAAUACGGAGGGAGCUAGCGUUGUUCGGAAUUACUGAGCGUAAAGCGCACGUAGGCGGUUAUUCAAGUCAGAGGUGAAAGCCCGGGGCUCAACCCCGGAACUGCCUUUGAAACUAGAUGACUGGAAUCUUGGAGAGGUCAGCGGAAUUCCUAGUGUAGAGGUGAAAUUCGUAGAUAUUCGGAAGAACACCAGUGGCGAAGGCGACUGACUGGACAAGUAUUGACGCUGAGGUGCGAAAGCGUGGGGAGCAAACAGGAUUAGAUACCCCUGUAGUCCCUGUCUCUUAUAC
RNAcentral lists this ribosomal RNA (301 nucleotides) under uncultured bacterium. RNAcentral's name for it is "partial 16S ribosomal RNA". It matches the Rfam family "Bacterial small subunit ribosomal RNA", at positions 509 to 807 of the family's 1533-position model. The record is from RNAcentral.